GCUGUUUUAGUUUAAUUAGAAUUUUGUUUUGAUAGGGCAAAGGUUAAUAAUAGUU
This 55-nucleotide transfer RNA is filed under the name Neofoleyellides sp. XM-2022. Its description in RNAcentral is "tRNA-Ile". The record is from RNAcentral. Lineage: Eukaryota; Metazoa; Nematoda; Chromadorea; Rhabditida; Onchocercidae.